This 505-nucleotide ribosomal RNA is filed under the name Shigella sonnei. RNAcentral's name for it is "partial 23S ribosomal RNA". It matches the Rfam family "Bacterial large subunit ribosomal RNA", at positions 1285 to 1785 of the family's 2925-position model. Lineage: Bacteria; Pseudomonadati; Pseudomonadota; Gammaproteobacteria; Enterobacterales; Enterobacteriaceae. The record is from RNAcentral.
GAAGUGCGAAUGCUGACAUAAGUAACGAUAAAGCGGGUGAAAAGCCCGCUCGCCGGAAGACCAAGGGUUCCUGUCCAACGUUAAUCGGGGCAGGGUGAGUCGACCCCUAAGGCGAGGCCGAAAGGCGUAGUCGAUGGGAAACAGGUUAAUAUUCCUGUACUUGGUGUUACUGCGAAGGGGGGACGGAGAAGGCUAUGUUGGCCGGGCGACGGUUGUCCCGGUUUAAGCGUGUAGGCUGGUUUUCCAGGCAAAUCCGGAAAAUCAAGGCUGAGGCGUGAUGACGAGGCACUACGGUGCUGAAGCAACAAAUGCCCUGCUUCCAGGAAAAGCCUCUAAGCAUCAGGUAACAUCAAAUCGUACCCCAAACCGACACAGGUGGUCAGGUAGAGAAUACCAAGGCGCUUGAGAGAACUCGGGUGAAGGAACUAGGCAAAAUGGUGCCGUAACUUCGGGAGAAGGCACGCUGAUAUGUAGGUGAAGUCCCUUGCGGAUGGAGCUGAAAUCA